GAUGAACGCUGGCGGCGUGCCUAAUACAUGCAAGUCGAGCGAACGGACGAGUAGCUUGCUUCUCUGAUGUUAGCGGCGGACGGGUGAGUAACACGUGGAUAACCUACCUAUAAGACUGGGAUAACUUCGGGAAACCGUAGCUAAUACCGGAUAAUAUUUUGAACCGCAUGGUUCAAAAGUGAAAGACGGUCUUGCUGUCACUUAUAGAUGGAUCCGCGCUGCAUUAGCUAGUUGGUAAGGUAACGGCUUACCAAGGCAACGAUGCAUAGCCGACCUGAGAGGGUGAUCGGCCACACUGGAACUGAGACACGGUCCAGACUCCUACGGGAGGCAGCAGUAGGGAAUCUUCCGCAAUGGGCGAAAGCCUGACGGAGCAACGCCGCGUGAGUGAUGAAGGUCUUCGGAUCGUAAAACUCUGUUAUUAGGGAAGAACAUAUGUGUAAGUAACUGUGCACAUCUUGACGGUACGUAAUCAGAAAGCCACGGCUAACUACGUG
Molecule: ribosomal RNA, 497 nt
Filed under: uncultured bacterium
Lineage: Bacteria
Description: partial 16S ribosomal RNA
Rfam family: Bacterial small subunit ribosomal RNA
Source: RNAcentral